This 67-nucleotide transfer RNA is filed under the name Urocitellus parryii (Arctic ground squirrel). RNAcentral's name for it is "Spermophilus parryii (Arctic ground squirrel) tRNA". It matches the Rfam family "tRNA". From Rfam's summary of the family: Transfer RNA (tRNA) molecules are approximately 80 nucleotides in length. Their secondary structure includes four short double-helical elements and three loops (D, anti-codon, and T loops). Lineage: Eukaryota; Metazoa; Chordata; Mammalia; Rodentia; Sciuridae. RNAcentral also lists the same sequence under 1 other name. The record is from Rfam by way of RNAcentral.
CAAUGUAGCUCAGUGGUUGAGUGCAUACCUGGCAUGCAUAAGGACCUGGGUUCAACCCCCAGCACUG